Molecule: ribosomal RNA, 273 nt
Filed under: uncultured bacterium
Lineage: Bacteria
Description: partial 16S ribosomal RNA
Rfam family: Bacterial small subunit ribosomal RNA
Source: RNAcentral
AUACGGAGGGUGCAAGCGUUGUUCGGAAUCACUGGGCGUAAAGGGCGCGCAGGCGGGUUGGUAAGUCAGAUGUGAAAGCCCACGGCUCAACCGUGGAAGUGCAUUUGAAACUGUCAGACUUGAGUACUAGAGGGGAAAGUGGAAUUCCCGGUGUAGAGGUGAAAUUCGUAGAUAUCGGGAGGAAUACCGGUGGCGAAGGCGACUGUCUGGCUAGAUACUGACGCUGAGGCGCGAAAGCGUGGGAGCAAACAGGAGUAGAAACCCCGGUAGUCC